RNAcentral lists this ribosomal RNA (460 nucleotides) under uncultured bacterium. Its description in RNAcentral is "partial 16S ribosomal RNA". It matches the Rfam family "Bacterial small subunit ribosomal RNA", at positions 338 to 795 of the family's 1533-position model. The record is from RNAcentral.
CCUACGGGAGGCAGCAGUGAGGAAUAUUGGUCAAUGGACGAGAGUCUGAACCAGCCAAGUAGCGUGAAGGAUGACUGCCCUAUGGGUUGUAAACUUCUUUUAUAAAGGAAUAAAACGAGGCACGUGUGCCUUUUUGCAUGUACUUUAUGAAUAAGGAUCGGCUAACUCCGUGCCAGCAGACGCGGUAAUACGGAGGAUCCGAGCGUUAUCCGGAUUUAUUGGGUUUAAAGGGAGCGUAGAUGGGUUGGUAAGUCAGUUGUGAAAGUUUGCGGCUCAACCGUAAAAUUGCAAUUGAUACUGGCAGUCUUGAGUACAGUUGAGGUAGGCGGAAUUCGUGGUGUAGCGGUGAAAUGCUUAGAUAUCACGAAGAACCCCGAUUGCGAAGGCAGCUUACUAAGCUGUGACUGACAUUGAUGCUCGAAAGUGUGGGGAUCAAACAGGAUUAGAUACCCUGGUAGUC